This 267-nucleotide long non-coding RNA is filed under the name Mytilus galloprovincialis (Mediterranean mussel). Lineage: Eukaryota; Metazoa; Mollusca; Bivalvia; Mytilida; Mytilidae. The record is from RNAcentral.
GUUACCUAGCUAAGUAAGAGUUUUAAUUAUGGGAGUAUAACCUAAAAGUGAUAGAACUUUUUCAUGCUUUGCCAAAAUAUAGUAUAUAUUGUGAUAUGUUCAAAAAUGUGAUAAAAUAGAUAUAUCACCAAGCUGGUUGUGAAAAAUGGGACAUUUUGUAUGGAUUAUACAAAGAAAAAGCAUCAUUAAAUGAAUAGAAGGCAGUGGCGGAUCCAGAAAUUUUCAUAAGUGGGGGCACACUGACUGACCUAAGAGGGGGCCCGCUCC